This 339-nucleotide long non-coding RNA is filed under the name Arachis ipaensis. RNAcentral's name for it is "long non-coding RNA (AIPA_LNC000623)". The record is from RNAcentral. Lineage: Eukaryota; Viridiplantae; Streptophyta; Magnoliopsida; Fabales; Fabaceae.
ACCGCCAGUCACCACCCACCACUCACCACAUCGCUACGCCGCUCACCAGCUCACCACUCACCAGCUCACACUCUCAUCCUCACUCAACACACACAAAAGAGGAAAAAAAAUCAGAAAAGUGGAGAACGGGAAGAAGAAGAGAAGAAGAGAGGAGAGGGAAAGGAAGGAGAGGACGACGCCGGCUAGGGCUCCGCCGCGCGGACCAUCGUCGUUGCGUGCGCUGACCGUCGCCUCAGCAUCGCCAUCUCGUUCACUCACCAUCGCCGCUCAGCAUCAUCAUCGCGUGUGCUCACUGUCGCUGCUCAGCAUCGUCGUCGUCGCUCAGCAUCGUCAUCGCCG